CCUACGGGAGGCAGCAGUGAGGAAUAUUGGUCAAUGGGCGCGAGUCUGAACCAGCCAAGUAGCGUGAAGGAUGACUGCCCUACGGGUUGUAAACUUCUUUUAUAAAGGAAUAAAGUGAGGCACGUGUGCCUUUUUGUAUGUAUCUUAUGAAUAAGGAUCGGCUAACUCCGUGCCAGCAGCCGCGGUAAUACGGAGGAUCCGAGCGUUAUCCGGAUGUAUUGGGUUUAAAGGGAGCGUAGAUGGGUUGUUAAGUCAGUUGUGAAAGUUUGCGGCUCAACCGCAAAAUUGCAAUUGAUACUGGCAGUCUUGAGUACAGUUGAGGUAGGCGGAAUUCAUGGUGUAGCGGUGAAAUGCUUAGAGAUCACGAAGAACUCCGAUUGCGAAGGCAGCUUACUAAACUGCCACUGACGUUGAUGCUCGAAAGUGUGGGUAUCAAACAGGAUUAGAUACCCCUGUAGUC
RNAcentral lists this ribosomal RNA (460 nucleotides) under uncultured bacterium. RNAcentral describes it as "partial 16S ribosomal RNA". It matches the Rfam family "Bacterial small subunit ribosomal RNA", at positions 338 to 795 of the family's 1533-position model. The record is from RNAcentral.